AAUGAACUGCUUGAGGACUUGGAAUAUGAUCCUUAUGCUGCAACUUUCUUUCCUUGAUAAACCUUUACUCUUUUCUGUUACUUGUCAUUCAAAUCCUGAAUGUACUCCCAGUAGCUCAAAUUUUGCUUCAGAUAUAUAAUUAAUAUACUGUCCAUCUGCCCUGGUCCCAUUCUUUUAGAGGAAAAUUUUAAGCGUAUAUCAUAUACUUACCGAUUAUGUUUGGCACAAUGCAG
This 233-nucleotide unclassified non-coding RNA is filed under the name Hevea brasiliensis (rubber tree). Lineage: Eukaryota; Viridiplantae; Streptophyta; Magnoliopsida; Malpighiales; Euphorbiaceae. The record is from RNAcentral.